GGAAUUGUAGCUCAGUGGUAGAGUACUUGCCUAGUGUCACAAGACCCUGGGUUUGAUUCCCAGAACCCCA
This 70-nucleotide transfer RNA is filed under the name Marmota monax (woodchuck). RNAcentral describes it as "tRNA.Thr". The record is from RNAcentral. Lineage: Eukaryota; Metazoa; Chordata; Mammalia; Rodentia; Sciuridae.